This is an RNA transcript of Homo sapiens (human), 1518 nucleotides long. It is a transcript of the gene named PMS1 homolog 2, mismatch repair system component pseudogene 1, with no coding region annotated. NCBI's taxonomy places the organism in Eukaryota, Metazoa, Chordata, Mammalia, Primates, Hominidae. The transcript has 7 exons. The record is from RefSeq and is marked provisional.
GCCGCUCCUGCCGUGCAUGUUGGGGAGCCAGUACAUGCAGGUGGGCUCCACACGGAGAGGGGCGCCGACCCCGUGAUAGGGCUUUACCUGGUACAUCGGGGUGGCGCGUGCCAGACACCAACGGUCGGAAACCGCCAGACACCAACGCUCGGAAUCCACGCCAGGCCACGACGGAGGGCGACUACCUCCCUUCUGACCCUGCUGCUGGCGUUCGGAAAAAACGCAGUCCGGUGUGCUCUGAUUGGUCCAGGCUCUUUGACGUCACGGACUCGACCUUUGACAGAGCCACUAGGCGAAAAGGAGAGACGGGAAGUAUUUUUUCCGCCCCGCCCGGAAAGGGUGGAGCACAACGUCGAAAGCAGCCGUUGGGAGCCCAGGAGGCGGGGCGCCUGUGGGAGCCGUGGAGGGAACUUUCCCAGUCCCCGAGGCGGAUCCGGUGUUGCAUCCUUGGAGCGAGCUGAGAGCUCGAGUACAGAACCUGCUAAGGCCAUCAAACCUAUUGAUCGGAAGUCAGUCCAUCAGAUUUGCUCUGGGCCGGUGGUACCGAGUCUAAGCACUGCGGUGAAGGAGUUAGUAGAAAACAGUCUGGAUGCUGGUGCCACUAAUAUUGAUCUAAAGCUUAAGGACUAUGGAGUGGAUCUCAUUGAAGUUUCAGGCAAUGGAUGUGGGGUAGAAGAAGAAAACUUCGAAGGCUUAACUCUGAAACAUCACACAUCUAAGAUUCAAGAGUUUGCCGACCUACCUCAGGUUGAAACUUUUGGCUUUCGGGGGGAAGCUCUGAGCUCACUUUGUGCACUGAGUGAUGUCACCAUUUCUACCUGCCAUGUAUCGGCGAAGGUUGGGACUCGACUGGUGUUUGAUCACUAUGGGAAAAUCAUCCAGAAAACCCCCUACCCCCACCCCAGAGGGAUGACAGUCAGUGUGAAGCAGUUAUUUUCUACGCUACCUGUGCACCAUAAAGAAUUUCAAAGGAAUAUUAAGAAGAAACGUGCCUGCUUCCCCUUCGCCUUCUGCCGUGAUUGUCAGUUUCCUGAGGCCUCCCCAGCCAUGCUUCCUGUACAGCCUGCAGAACUGACUCCUAGAAGUACCCCACCCCACCCCUGCUCCUUGGAGGACAACGUGAUCACUGUAUUCAGCUCUGUCAAGAAUGGUCCAGGUUCUUCUAGAUGAUCUGCACAAAUGGCUCCUCUCCUCCUUCCUGAUGUCUGCCAUUAGCACUGGAAUAAAGUUCCUGCUGAAAAUCCACAUCUCCCCUGGGUCCGGUGUUCUGGAAGUGAGAGAGACAAUGUCACACCUCAAGGAGACAGCUCUCUAGACAGGAAGGUUAUUCACGUCCCAUGUCAAGUCUAGCUAGAGUUCAGAGCAAUUGAGAAGUGCGAUUUUAUCUCCUGCCUUUCAUUCUAUACCCUGCUUCUGAACCAUCGUGUUCAACUGUGAAACUCACGCUUUGGUGACCCUGACUCCAAAACUUAAUACACCCAAGGUCAGCCCCAGUGAUCUGCUUCAUAGCGAGGACUU